AGUAAAUAGAUACCCCGGUAGUCCUAGCCGUAAACGAUACUCGCUAGGUGUCGGCCACGGUGCGACCGUUGUCGGUGCCGUAGGGAAAGCCGUGAAGCGAGCCACCUGGGAAGUACGGCCGCAAGGCUGAAACUUAAAGGAAUUGGCGGGGGAGCACCACAACGGGUGGAGCUUGCGGUUUAAUUGGAUUCAACGCCGGAAAUCUUACCGGGACCGACAGCAACAUGAAGGCCAGGCUGAAGACUUUGCCGGAUUAGCUGAGAGGUGGUGCAUGGCCGUCGUCAGUUCGUACUGUGAAAGCAUCCUGUUAAGUCAGGCAACGAGCGAGACCCACGCCCACAGUUGCCAGCGUACUCUCCGGAGUGACGGGUACACUGUGGGGACCGCCGCUGCUAAAGCGGAGGAAGGAAUGGGCAACGGUAGGUCAGUAUGCCCCGAAUAUCCCGGGCUACACGCGAGCUACAAUGGUUGGUACAAUGGGUAUCUACCCCGAAAGGGGAUGGAAAUCUCCUAAAGCCAAUCUUAGUCCGGAUUGA
Molecule: ribosomal RNA, 536 nt
Filed under: uncultured bacterium
Lineage: Bacteria
Description: bacterial SSU rRNA
Rfam family: Archaeal small subunit ribosomal RNA
Source: RNAcentral